Molecule: long non-coding RNA, 493 nt
Filed under: Pogona vitticeps (central bearded dragon)
Lineage: Eukaryota; Metazoa; Chordata; Lepidosauria; Squamata; Agamidae
Description: lncRNA (ENSPVIG00000010803.1)
Source: RNAcentral
AAAAAUCCAAUAAUACCCAUAAUAAAAAUGGAGUAUGUACAAUCUGUUACAGCCCUGGUUUAGGGGUCAGGAUUCAGAAAAAUCCCAUAAUAAAAAUGGAGUAUGUACAAUCUUACUUUGCAGCUUAUUACACUGAAGAAGCAAUGCAACAAGUCAGAAACAAGAAUCCAAAUAGUGACAUGGCAGGAUGUCCAGUUUUAUUCUAUCAAAUGCCACCGAAACAAAGGGAACAAUCCAUUUUUCCUGAUAGAAGCCAACAGAUCGUAAGAGGUUUGAGAUGAGUGUGAGGAUACAAUUUGCCUAGAGAGUGCCUGAGGAUCAAGACAAGCUGACUUUCCACGGAAUGAGUCUGUCAGCUGGCAUCUUGCGGUAAUUGCUUCCCAUGGCAGGGCCUCACCAGCUGAGGGAGGGCUGAUCGCGUCAACUCAAGAAUCCAUUUUAUUAUUACUAUUUUUUUUAACAGCCACUGAACGAUAAUUGUUUGCUAAGGCUG